AUGGGAGCCACCGACGAGUCGGAUCACGACAUGGAGAAGCAGCAGCCGCUGCUGGCCGCGGCGGCGGCGGGCGAGAUCGGCUGCGGCAACUGCAAGGCGUGCUCCUGCGCCUCGCCCACGGCGACGCGGACGCUCUCGCUGGUCGUCCUCGUCGCCGGCGCCCUGUUCGCCGCGCAGCUCAAGGCGCGGGAGGAGUACCUCCUGCUCACGGUGUUCGCGUCGCAGCUGCUCAGCUUCUGCGUCCUCACAUCGCUGCUGGCGCUGUGCGCGCUCCCGGAGGACGGCGCCCGGCAGCGGCUCGCGUGGGCGCGGGCGGCGGCCGCGCAGGUGCUGCUGUGGUCGUUCGCCAUGGCGCUCCUGGUGAGCAUGUCGCUCUGGGUGGCCGGGACCUCGCCGGUGGCCCUCGGCGCGGCGCUGCUGGGGGUUGCCCUGGCCGUCGUCUUCGCCUGCUACGCCGAGCUCGUGCAGUCCCUCUGGCCUGUGGCCUAG
RNAcentral lists this ribosomal RNA (489 nucleotides) under Triticum aestivum (bread wheat). Its description in RNAcentral is "partial small subunit ribosomal RNA". Lineage: Eukaryota; Viridiplantae; Streptophyta; Magnoliopsida; Poales; Poaceae. The record is from RNAcentral.